UACGGAGGGUGCAAGCGUUAUCCGGAUUCACUGGGUUUAAAGGGUGCGUAGGUGGGUUGCCAAGUCCGUGGUGAAAUCCCCGAGCUUAACUCGGGAACUGCCGUGGAUACUGGUAGCCUUGAAUAUCGUGGAGGUAAGCGGAAUAUGUCAUGUAGCGGUGAAAUGCAUAGAUAUGACAUAGAACACCAAUAGCGAAGGCAGCUUACUACACGAUCAUUGACACUGAGGCACGAAAGCGUGGGGAGCAAACAGG
Molecule: ribosomal RNA, 253 nt
Filed under: uncultured prokaryote
Description: partial 16S ribosomal RNA
Rfam family: Bacterial small subunit ribosomal RNA
Source: RNAcentral